AUGCAUGAUCCUAAAAUGAAUGCAAAAAUUAAAUAAAAACUAUAUGCAAUCUAUACGGUAUCUAUAUGCAAGUGUGUGCAUAUAUUUAUAAGGUAUAAGUGUAGGUGCAUGAACUAACUAAGUAUAAGUGAAAUGAAAUGCAAUUGAAUUAAUGCAAAUGCUUUAAAAAGAUAAAAAAUUUUGCAAAAAUUUUACCUUCCCCCCAAACUCAAAUUAGACAAUGUCCUCAUUGGCUUAAAUAAAGUGGCAAAAAUGUAAAUCAAAGGAAAUAAAUGCUCAAAAAUUGGUAAAGGUGAGAAUUUAAUAUUCUCAAUGUGCAAUAAAGGAGUAAAGUGUAGCUCAAAAAGAUAAAAAAAGAAAAUGAAGCACAAAUAAAAAUUUUCAAAUGAAUUCUCACAAUUAACUCAACAUGCCCAAUGUGGAAUGACUUGAAAAGUAACAUGAGACAUGUUGAAAUUGCAAGUAAAAUGACACAGGGCAUGUUAAAAAGGAACAUGCCCCAUUUAGGCUAGAAAAUACCUCAAAAAUGACAUAAAUGAACCUGUAAAGUGUAGUAUAAUAGGGAAAGCUACAAAAUUGGACAAGAGAACUCAAAACCACAAAAGGCUAAUCAAGAAUAACUACAAACUGCAUUAAACCUCACAACCACAAAAAUGCAAGUAUUUAAACAAUUAAAUUCUAGCCACGAAAAAUAAGCAAACUAUAGAAAAUGAUAUCAAACCAAACUGCAACAACAUAAAGUACCAUCCAAAGGACAAUAUUUCAACAAUAUCCAAGAAACAACGUAAAGACAAAAUUCAUAAGUAUAAAAAAAAAGCCCAAAAUACAGUAAGAACUGAAAAUUUAUUGCAAUAUAAAGGCUUAAAACAGAACCCUAAAGUUUAAAACAACUAAGGAAGUUCCUAACAGUAAAGCCUAAAUAAAAACUAGUCUUCAUUGGUCUUGUUGGGUGCUGCUUGGUCUGCUAGCUGGUUGUCCUUAGCAGCAACUGCUGGUACAUCUUUAGAAGCUUCUAAUGCAGUUUCUAAGUUGUCAAAGAGUUGCUUUAGCUCUCCAAACUGGUUCCCCAUCCAUGUAACAAUGUUGUUAUAAACUUUUCCAGCCUUUCCAUUUGAACUGCAAGCAAUUUCAUCUCUAAUUUCUGCUUCUCUUUUAAUUCCUUCAAUUUCUUCUUCAUUUUUCUUUCAUACUUCUUCUGCCUUGUAUCAAAAUUGUCCAACUUUGCUUCCAUAAAUUUCAAAAUUGUCAAUAACUCAUCAAAAUUCUAUUGUGAAACUGCAAGUUUAGUUGGCUAUAAUUUCUCAUCUAGCUUUGCAAUUUCGGCUUCAAUGGACUUAAAAGCAAACAAGAGUGUAGCGAUAGAAGUGGGCUGCUGAGAUGGACUAGCAGAUUGAGGUUCAGUUUGUGUGUCAAAAGGCUGAAAAGGAUCAUCCUCUGGCCUAGGGUCGCUGGUUUGGUCCAUUAGCACAAAAAUAGACCAUUUCUUCUUUAUAAUACUCAUGCUAAAUAGAAUAGCCCUGUCUAGGUAAGCUUUUCCUAAAAUAGGCUUCAAUUUAUGCUCUGCUAGUGAAAAAUCAAAAGCCUUAGCUAUCGCAGUGAUCAAACCCCCAAAGACUAUACUACCAAUCCUCAUUUUAGAAAUAGAUUGCUCAAAAUGUGAGCAAAGCAAAAAAAAAAACUCCAUUUACUUUCUUUCUAUUGUUCAUACACCAUAACAAAAACAAAUCAUUAAGACCUAUAACACUGUUACUAUGGCCUUUUCCUAACGCAGUGUAAGAAAGGAAUCUGUGGAGCAAUCUCAAAAUAGGGUCUAAGAUCUUAGAGGACUUUGAAGCGCUAGGGUUGUAAUAGCCUCCAUAAAGAGCUAUAGAUUUCCAGAACCCAAAUUUAUCAUAGAAGGCCCUUUCCCACUCUACCUGACAAUAUCCCUCAUCAGGGAAACCAAAGAUAGCAUUAACAGAACCCAUGCUCAACUCUCUUUCUAUACCCAAACACCUAAAUUGGAUAUUGUCAAUAGGUUUCACAUCAUGAGACUAAAAAUUCACCUUCAAAGAACUAAGAAACUGCAAAGUUAGCUCAGUAUACACAAUUUCCUUAAUACUAGCAAAUUCAGUCCACCCUAUUACAUCUAAAUAUGCAAAAACAACAUCAUAUAAACCUAUCUCCUUUAACAGUGCAUCAUCCAAAUAUUUAAUAGGUGCUAGGCUCUUAGACAUUAAUUUCUUAUAAUUAUGCUUCAUUUGCAUAUUCCUAAAGCCCCAAGUUAAAGAAGAAGGUACCUCCUCUAAAAUAUCAUUACCAAAAGAAGCAACAGGUACUGCUUUUGAUGCAGAAACCUUGGACUUGGACUUAGCAGUAGCGGGUUGAGGACUAGGUUCCUUAGAAGAUGCAACCGAUGCUGAUUUUGACACUGGGAUUCGAGGAGUACUCAAUGGGGUUGAGACAGAGGAGCGAGUUCUCUUGCUAAUGGGUUCAAGAAUGAAAACCCUAGGUUUCUUGGUUGUCAAAGCAGAGGCAGAAAUGGGUUCUUUGCGCUUGCUAGGAGAAGAAGGCUUUUUGAGUUUGAAAUUAGGGUUCACUUUCUUCUUAGCAACUGUCUUGAAAUGGGUUUUUAGGGCAGAUUGUACUGUAGGUGGAGAGGGUUGAGGGAUUUA
RNAcentral lists this unclassified non-coding RNA (2654 nucleotides) under Hevea brasiliensis (rubber tree). Lineage: Eukaryota; Viridiplantae; Streptophyta; Magnoliopsida; Malpighiales; Euphorbiaceae. The record is from RNAcentral.